This is a non-coding RNA of Mycena galericulata, 83 nucleotides long. The record is from the annotation of a GenBank genome assembly. Lineage: Eukaryota; Fungi; Basidiomycota; Agaricomycetes; Agaricales; Mycenaceae.
GCGUUCUUAGUUCAGUGGUAGAACGUAGCACUCGUAUUGCUUUGCCGAUGCUAAGAUCAGUUGUUCAAUCCGGCUAGAAGGCA